RNAcentral lists this ribosomal RNA (554 nucleotides) under uncultured bacterium. RNAcentral describes it as "bacterial SSU rRNA". It matches the Rfam family "Bacterial small subunit ribosomal RNA", at positions 775 to 1325 of the family's 1533-position model. The record is from RNAcentral.
AAAAUAGAUACCCGGUAGUCCACGCCGUAAACGAUGACGUGCUAAGUGUUGGGGGUUUCCGCCCCGUCAGUGCUGCAGCUAACGCAUUAAGCACUCCGCCUGGGGAGUACGGUCGCAAGACUGAAACUCAAAGGAAUUGACGGGGGCCCGCACAAGCGGUGGAGCAUGUGGUUUAAUUCGAAGCAACGCGAAGAACCUUACCAGGUCUUGACAUCCCGGUGACCACUAUGGAGACAUAGUUUCCCCCUUCGGGGGCAACGGUGACAGGUGGUGCAUGGUUGUCGUCAGCUCGUGUCGUGAGAUGUUGGGUUAAGUCCCGCAACGAGCGCAACCCUUAUUCUUAGUUGCCAUCAUUCAGUUGGGCACUCUAAGGAGACUGCCGGUGAUAAACCGGAGGAAGGUGGGGAUGACGUCAAAUCAUCAUGCCCCUUAUGACCUGGGCUACACACGUGCUACAAUGGACGGUACAAACGGUUGCCAACCCGCGAGGGGGAGCUAAUCCGAUAAAACCGUUCUCAGUUCGGAUUGUAGGCUGCAACUCGCCUACAUGAACG